UACGGGGGGGGCAAGCGUUGUUCGGAAUUACUGGGCGUAAAGCGCGUGUAGGCGGCCAGAUAGGUCUGCUGUGAAAACUCGAGGCUCAACCUCGAGCUGUCGGCGGAAACCAUCUGGCUAGAGUCCGGAAGAGGAGAGUGGAAUUCCUGGUGUAGCGGUGAAAUGCGCAGAUAUCAGGAAGAACACCUAUGGCGAAGGCAGCUCUCUGGGACGGUACUGACGCUGAGACGCGAAAGCGUGGGGAGCGAACAGG
Molecule: ribosomal RNA, 253 nt
Filed under: uncultured bacterium
Lineage: Bacteria
Description: partial 16S ribosomal RNA
Rfam family: Bacterial small subunit ribosomal RNA
Source: RNAcentral